CUACGGGUGGCUCCAGUAAGGAAUAUUCCACAAUGGGCGAAAGCCUGAUGGAGCGACACCGCGUGGAGGACGACACCUUUCGGGGCGUAAACUCCUUUUCUGAGUGAAUAAGUUCUGAAAUUAACUCAGGAAUAAGUGACGGCUAAUUACGUGCCAGCAGCCGCGGUAAUACGUAAGUCGCGAGCGUUAACCGGAAUUAUUGGGCGUAAAGGGUCCGUAGCCGGAAAAGAAAGUCUGAUGUUAAAACACGGUGCUCAACACCGUGAUCGUAUUAGAAACUUCUUAUCUAGAGUUAUUCAGAGGUGCGUGGAAUUUCUUGUGUAGGGGUAAAAUCCGUAGAUACAAGAAGGAACACCAAAAGCGAAGGCAGCGCACUGGGGAUAUACUGACGGUCAGGGACGAAAGCGUGGGGAGCAAAGAGGAUUAGAUACCCCCGUAGUC
RNAcentral lists this ribosomal RNA (441 nucleotides) under uncultured bacterium. RNAcentral's name for it is "partial 16S ribosomal RNA". It matches the Rfam family "Bacterial small subunit ribosomal RNA", at positions 339 to 795 of the family's 1533-position model. The record is from RNAcentral.